CCUACGGGAGGCAGCAGUAGGGAAUCUUCGGCAAUGGGGGCAACCCUGACCGAGCAACGCCGCGUGAGUGAAGAAGGUUUUCGGAUCGUAAAGCUCUGUUGUAAGAGAAGAACGAGUGUGAGAGUGGAAAGUUCACACUGUGACGGUAACUUACCAGAAAGGGACGGCUAACUACGUGCCAGCAGCCGCGGUAAUACGUAGGUCCCGAGCGUUGUCCGGAUUUAUUGGGCGUAAAGCGAGCGCAGGCGGUUAGAUAAGUCUGAAGUUAAAGGCUGUGGCUUAACUAUAGUACGCUUUGGAAACUGUUUAACUUGAGUGCAAGAGUGGAGAGUGGAAUUCCAUGUGUAGCGGUGAAAUGCGUAGAUAUAUGGAGGAACACCGGUGGCGAAAGCGGCUCUCUGGCUUGUAACUGACACUGAGGCGCGAAAGCGUGGGGAGCAAACAGGAUUAGAUACCCUGGUAGUCCACGCCGUAAACGAUGAGUGCUAAGUGUUGGUCUCAUAAGAGAUCAGUGCUGCAGCUAACGCAUUAAGCACUCCGCCUGGGGAGUACGACCGCAAGGUUGAAACUCAAAGGAAUUGACGG
RNAcentral lists this ribosomal RNA (585 nucleotides) under uncultured bacterium. RNAcentral's name for it is "bacterial SSU rRNA". It matches the Rfam family "Bacterial small subunit ribosomal RNA", at positions 338 to 916 of the family's 1533-position model. The record is from RNAcentral.